RNAcentral lists this ribosomal RNA (450 nucleotides) under uncultured bacterium. RNAcentral's name for it is "bacterial SSU rRNA". It matches the Rfam family "Bacterial small subunit ribosomal RNA", at positions 8 to 507 of the family's 1533-position model. The record is from RNAcentral.
AGAGUUUGAUCAUGGCUCAGAACGAACGCUGGCGGCAGGCUUAACACAUGCAAGUCGAGCGCCCGCAAGGGGAGCGGCAGACGGGUGAGUAACGCGUGGGAAUCUACCCAUCUCUACGGAACAACUCCGGGAAACUGGAGCUAAUACCGUAUACGUCCUUCGGGAGAAAGAUUUAUCGGAGAUGGAUGAGCCCGCGUUGGAUUAGCUAGUUGGUGGGGUAAUGGCCUACCAAGGCGACGAUCCAUAGCUGGUCUGAGAGGAUGAUCAGCCACACUGGGACUGAGACACGGCCCAGACUCCUACGGGAGGCAGCAGUGGGGAAUAUUGGACAAUGGGCGCAAGCCUGAUCCAGCCAUGCCGCGUGAGUGAUGAAGGCCCUAGGGUUGUAAAGCUCUUUCAACGGUGAAGACAAUGACGGUAACCGUAGAAGAAGCCCCGGCUAACUUCGUG